CCUACGGGAGGCAGCAGUGAGGAAUAUUGGUCAAUGGACGAGAGUCUGAACCAGCCAAGUAGCGUGAAGGAUGACUGCCCUAUGGGUUGUAAACUUCUUUUAUAUGGGAAUAAAAUGUUCCACGUGUGGGAUUUUGUAUGUACCAUAUGAAUAAGGAUCGGCUAACUCCGUGCCAGCAGCCGCGGUAAUACGGAGGAUCCGAGCGUUAUCCGGAUUUAUUGGGUUUAAAGGGAGCGUAGGUGGAUUGUUAAGUCAGUUGUGAAAGUUUGCGGCUCAACCGUAAAAUUGGAGUUGAAACUGGCAGUCUUGAGUACAGUAGAGGUGGGCGGAAUUCGUGGUGUAGCGGUGAAAUGCUUAGAUAUCACGAAGAACUCCGAUUGCGAAGGCAGUUCACUGGACUGCAACUGACACUGAGGCUCGAAAGUGUGGGUAUCAAACAGGAUUAGAUACCCCUGUAGUC
Molecule: ribosomal RNA, 460 nt
Filed under: uncultured bacterium
Lineage: Bacteria
Description: partial 16S ribosomal RNA
Rfam family: Bacterial small subunit ribosomal RNA
Source: RNAcentral